This 224-nucleotide long non-coding RNA is filed under the name Lotus japonicus. RNAcentral describes it as "long non-coding RNA (LJAP_LNC000148)". Lineage: Eukaryota; Viridiplantae; Streptophyta; Magnoliopsida; Fabales; Fabaceae. The record is from RNAcentral.
AGACCUUUAACAAUAAUCUAGCAAAAAGUAUUCUACUCUUCCAUAUAUGAUUAAUUAAUGUGUUAAAAAAGUGGUGGUCCAUAAAGUACAUAAGGGAGAAAAUCCAAGGUACGAAAAUGGUAGAGUAGCUUGUUGCAGCAUAAUGUGUUAAACUAUUGUUGUUUAAGGGGUAUGUUGUAUGCAUUAUAAUUUGACAGAAACACAUUUAUUUAAUAUUGAGUUAU